CCUACGGGAGGCAGCAGUGAGGAAUAUUGGUCAAUGGCCGGAAGGCUGAACCAGCCAUGCCGCGUGAAGGUCAGUGCCCUAUGGGCGUUAAACUUCUUUUGUGCGGGAGCAAUAAUGGUCACGUGUGGCCAGACGAGAGUACCGUACGAAUAAGCAUCGGCUAACUCCGUUCCAGCAGCCGCGGUAAUACGGGGGAUGCAAGCGUUAUCCGGAUUUAUUGGGUUUAAAGGGUGCGUAGGCUGUGAGGUAAGUCAGCGGUGAAAUGCCCCCGCUCAACGGGGUGAAGUGCCAUUGAUACUGGCUGGCUGGAAUGCGGAUGCCGUGGGAGGAAUGUGUGGUGUAGCGGUGAAAUGCAUAGAUAUCACACAGAACACCGAUUGCGAAGGCAUCUCACGAAUCCGCGAUUGACGCUGAUGCACGAAAGCGUGGGUAUCAAACAGGAUUAGAUACCCCUGUAGUC
Molecule: ribosomal RNA, 460 nt
Filed under: uncultured bacterium
Lineage: Bacteria
Description: partial 16S ribosomal RNA
Rfam family: Bacterial small subunit ribosomal RNA
Source: RNAcentral